UGGGGAAUAUUGCACAAUGGGCGCAAGCCUGAUGCAGCCAUGCCGCGUGUAUGAAGAAGGCCUUCGGGUUGUAAAGUACUUUCAGCGGGGAGGAAGGUGUUGAGGUUAGUAACCUCAGCAAUUGACGUUACCCGCAGAAGAAGCACCGGCUAACUCCGUGCCAGCAGCCGCGGUAAUACGGAGGGUGCAAGCGUUAAUCGGAAUUACUGGGCGUAAAGCGCACGCAGGCGGUCUGUCAAGUCGGAUGUGAAAUCCCCGGGCUCAACCUGGGAACUGCAUUCGAAACUGGCAGGCUAGAGUCUUGUAGAGGGGGGUAGAAUUCCAGGUGUAGCGGUGAAAUGCGUAGAGAUCUGGAGGAAUACCGGUGGCGAAGGCGGCCCCCUGGACAAAGACUGACGCUCAGGUGCGAAAGCGUGGGGAGCAAACA
This 427-nucleotide ribosomal RNA is filed under the name uncultured bacterium. RNAcentral's name for it is "partial 16S ribosomal RNA". It matches the Rfam family "Bacterial small subunit ribosomal RNA", at positions 355 to 774 of the family's 1533-position model. The record is from RNAcentral.